Molecule: non-coding RNA, 793 nt
Organism: Cyanistes caeruleus (blue tit)
Lineage: Eukaryota; Metazoa; Chordata; Aves; Passeriformes; Paridae
Source: RefSeq, a predicted model, not a curated record
UUUGUUUCUUGUUUAUUUGUUUGCUUUUUUUGGGGGGAGGGUGUUUACCAGAAGUCUUUGAACUGGUCUUAAAGAUUGAAUUUUAACUGCAAAUAUUUUUCUAGCAAUUUGACUUAACAUUUCUUACAAGCUUUUCUAUGAAAAGAAUCUACACCCAAUUUGGCACCAAGUAUGUCUAGAAGAGAGAGAGCAAGCACUGUGCACUCACUGGGCAGGAAAACAAUUCUAGAAACCAGUUCUCUUUGUGCCCAUUACUCAAGCAUAUUUGGAACUGCACCCAAGGAUUAUUUUUCUGAAUAUAACGCAUCUCUCAGAUCACUGCAGCUUAAUGUCCAGGACCAUCAGAUACUGAACACUAUAUAGAGGACCAUCCCUGAUCACAACCUGAAAUCCAAGGAAGUCUGCUAAGUCCAGCAAGUUUCUCUAAGGAGAAAACUGGGACAAUAUUGGUUAGGCUCGGAAGCUGGGAUUAGGUGAGGAAAGUCUUACAAGAUAGUGAGUAGUUUGGUCUGAGGGCAAUCCAAGUUGGUGCUCUGGGUUUUUUUUACAGAAGCUAGCAGUUCUUCUGGUGGUCCCACCUGUGCAGCCUAAGACUACCUGAACACAGUUAUCCUGUCAUGAAGUGAAAGCUUCCAUUUAAGAUUUCUGGUAGUGUUGUGAAGUACUGCUAAUUUAGAAAUGCAGAAUGAAGACAUACUAAUGAGAGUACUGUUACCGUGACAUUACUCACCAGUCUCACAGUCUGCAAAGUUCUCAGUGCACAGAUAAAAACUUACAGAUUCUCUGCGGAAUU